UACGUAGGGGGCGAGCGUUGUCCGGAAUCAUUGGGCGUAAAGCGCGUGUAGGCGGCCCGGUAAGUCCGCUGUGAAAGUCCAGGGCUCAACCCUGGGAUGCCGGUGGAUACUGUCGGGCUCGAGUCCGGAAGAGGCGAGUGGAAUUCCUGGUGUAGCGGUGAAAUGCGCAGUUAUCAGGAGGAACACCAAUGGCGAAGGCAGCUCGCUGGGACGUGACUGACGCUGAGACGCGAAAGCGUGGGGAGCAAACAGG
This 253-nucleotide ribosomal RNA is filed under the name uncultured bacterium. Its description in RNAcentral is "partial 16S ribosomal RNA". It matches the Rfam family "Bacterial small subunit ribosomal RNA", at positions 524 to 776 of the family's 1533-position model. The record is from RNAcentral.